CUCAGUCGGUACAUCAAUACUCGAACUUUCUAGUGUUUUAAAAAACUAUCAAAAAAGAAACAUAUUUCCUAUUAAAAACAGUGUUCAAAAACUAAAGUAAUUAUAACAAAGCAUUUAAUUAUCAACAACAAUAAUUCAUAACAAUAAAGGAAAAAUAGAAAUACUCAAUUAACAUGAUAUAAAUUCAAAAAGUGCUAAAACUAACAAUAUUCCACCAAAAUUUGUUAAUCAUGUAGAAAUGACAGUAAUUAAUAGUGCUACUAGAGAGAAAUCUAAUUAUUAGUUUAAACGCUUAUCAACGAAAAUCUUGUGUCAUCAAGAAAAUAAGUGAUAAAUUCUUCUAAUUCUGGAAAUUAUAAUAAUAUAGAGUAAAAAUUGAAGAAUUUCUCCACGUCGAGUGUGUUGACGUGUAUAAUGGCGACGUGGUUUGGAGAUGGAUUACCAAGUUUAUCUAAUUUAAAGGGACAAAUAACAAAUUUCACAAAGGAAGUACUCUCUGAGGGUAUUGUCGAAGAAAUAGAUGAUCGAUCUAAGCAGCUGAAUGAGGCAAAUGAAAAAUGUGUCGAAUUACAAGAAAUAUUGAAUGCAAAAAAUGCAGAGAUAUCGUUGCUUCGUCGACAGAACAUUGAAUUGCAGAAAACAGUUGUUGAACUAAACGCAGCAAAAUCCAGAGAGCAUAAUGAGGACAGUCAAGACGAUGGCGGAGGAUUUUAUUGGGACCCACGAACUGUUAAUAAUCGGGAACCAGAAAGUCAAAAACAAUCGCGAUUACUUCAGGAGCAAUUAUCUCGAGCCUCCGUAAAAAUUUCUGAAUUGGAGACAGAAUUGAAACGUCUACAAAAUGGAAAUACUAUGAAUGGAACGAGUAUAAAGGAAGAAAUCGCUGAAGGCCAUCAAAAGACGGAACUUCUUCGAGCAAAACAAGACUUGAUGAAUCGCAUUAUUCAAAUGGGUGAAAAGAGAGCAGAGAAAAAUACGAGACGAAAUGAUGAAGCAGAAGUUGUGAAAGAUUUUCAGAAAGCAAUGUCUAAAUUAAAAUCGUCGGAGCAAUUAGAAUUGAUUAAAAGUGCACUUCAGGCUCUUGAAAACGAAAACGAAAAAUUGAAAGCGACCAAAAAUGAAGAGAAAAUUGACGUUCAAGAAAAAUCGGUUAAAUUAAAUUCCGAUGGAUUCGAGGCUGUACCAUUAAUUGUCGGUUAUGAGGAAAAUUCAAAUAAUCGCCCAAAAAUUGAGGAAACCCAUUCGAUGGAUGAAUUCAAAAAACGAGAAUUUGAAUUAAAUAAAAAAAUUCAGGAGUUACAAGACGAAAAUCGAAUUUUAAGUAACAGCGUCGAUGAAUUGGAUCAACAACAUUCAGAAUCUAUGGAUAAAGUUUUGUCCUUAAAAGAGGAACUCCAAAAAAAGCACAAGUGCCUUCAAACUGCCUACGAACAGCUCUACGUGGAUUACAAUCAAAUAUCAAGUCAAUGUGAAAUUCUAAAAUCUAAAAAUGAAAAUAAUGAUGAUAUUAAUAGGGAAAAAAUGCCAAAAAUAAGUCUUGCCUUACAAACGGAACCCAUAGCCGUCCAAGAAAAUUCUGUUCAGGCCAAUAUAAACGAUGAAACACUCAUAAUUAUAACAAAAAAAGUGAAAAAUAUUCUCAAAAAUAUUUCCCUAACAGCACAUGAUGAUGAAACAAUAUUUGAAGUUGUGGCAAAACAAUAUGUCGAUAUAAAAUGGAAAAAGGAUGUUUUAGAGAGAAAACUCACGGAAUUAACGCGCGAAUUAAAGCAAACUGAGGAAACAAAAGAAUCAUUACAAUUAGAAUGCGAUGAUAUGCAAUCAAACAUUGAUUCAUUAAUUAUUGAAAUUCAACAUCUCAAGUCAAAUUUACCAUCGAUACCGGAAGCGAGUGAGGAGCGUAUCGCAUCACUUGAAAAUGAAACCGAAACACUUCAGGCCGAAUUGAAAAAAUACGAGGACGAAAUUAAACAUUUAAGACAGAAAAAUGCCGAUUUAACAACAGGUGGAAAAAAAGAUGUUGAAAAUACGCACAGAAAUCAUGGAAACUUUCAAACUGAACUCCAAACAAUAAAUGAACAACCUGAAAACGAACCACCAAGAGACGAAGAUGAAGAAAAACUGUUCCAAAAAUUAGAAUUAUCCAUGGCAAAGAACGAUGAAUUAAGAAAAAGAAUCGAAAUGCUCGAAAAUGAUCAAAGACAAACGCAAGAACAAUUGAGAAUGUCUUUGGAAAAAUGCAAAGGACUCGACGAGAAUAUUGAACUAAUUGAGGAAUUAAAACUCGAUCUCGACAAUGUUAAACGUGAAUUAAAAUCAUCAAUAUCACAUUGUAAAAUACUCGAGAAUAAUUUACAAGAAAUGCAAAAAAUGAAGGAAGAAAUGGAAAAUGAUAAUAAAAUAUUGUCACGUGAAAUUGAAAGACUUCAAUCUGAUUUAUCGAUAUUAAAAGAAUCACAAGAGAAAAAUGAGGAUAAUAAUCUACUCAGUGAUCUUCGUGAUCAACUCUAUAAAGUAAACAGCGAUAAAGACGAUUUAGAAUACGAUAUUCUCAAUAUGAGAAAAGAACUCGACAACACGAUAAAUCAAUUAGAAUUCAAAGAGACCGAAUUCGAGAAUUUACAGCAACUUAUCGAUGAAUUACAACAGGAAAAUCGAAAAAUACAAACAGAAAAUGACAAUUUAAAAAAGGAGACCAACACAUUCGUGGAGCAAUUAACAUCCCUUCAAAAUGAAUCGAGUGAAAAAGUUGAAUUACUAAAUACUGAGAAAUUUUUACUCGAACAGGAAUAUUCGACGUUGAAGGAAGAGACUGACAAGGAGAAACUUGAAUUAAUCGAAACAAGAAAUAAAUUAAUAAACUCAGAGGAAAAAAUAUCCCUCCUGGAGAAUUCACUCUCAAAUUUGAAAUUCGAAACACUUUCAAAUAAUGAAAAUCAAAGCAAAACGAAUGAGGUUACAAAAAAAUUGGAAGAAGAACUAAGAAUCGUUAAUUUGGAAAAGGAAAAUUUGUUCCUCGAUCUAGAAGCAAAAAUAGCGCAAAUUCUCUCAAAGGAAGAAGAAUUAUCGACUCUACGUCAACAGUAUUCGAAACUAGAAAUCGAAGCUCAAAAUUCCCAAGAGAAAAACGAAACGAAUCAAUUAAAAACCGAAAUCGAGGAACUGAGUCAAAAAUUAGAAAAUUCUUUAGAAAAGAAUAGAGAAUCGUCAACGAUGGCAAGGGAAACAAUUGAAAGUUUAUCGCAACUGAUUCGCGACAAGGACAAUGAAAUUGAAAAAUUAAAGAAUCAUCAAACAAACGAAAUUGAAAAUGAAUUAUCAUCGAUAAAAAAUGAACGUGACGAAUUAGUGAAACUCGUGCAAAUAAAACAUAACGAGAGUCUACAAUAUCACAGCGAAAUUCAACGUUUAAAUCAAUUAUUAAAUGAGCAAUUAAUCAGUAUUCAUAAAUUAAUUGCCGAACGUGAUUUCAAUUUAGAAGGAAUUAAAGAAAAGGAAACGGAAAUUCUUUGGGCACAAAAUGAACUUAAAGUUGUUAGGCAAAAAUUGAAAGACAUCGAAGAAUCAAAUGAUGGGGAGAAAUGUGGUAUUGUUGAGCAUUCCGUUCAAAUAGCGCAAAUGGCAAUUUUCAGUGAAAAAUGUAAAGCACUCGAGGCAGCAUUAAUUCAGGAGCAAAAUAAUAAUCGUCUUCUUCAAAAUCAAUUGAAUGAUUCACAAAAUAAGGAGCAAAGCAGUGCAAAGGAUUUGGAGAGAUUGAGAUGUCAUUUAAUGGAAAUUGAAGCGAGUUAUACGCAAGAAUUAUUGCAGACCGAGGAAAUAAGAAGAGAUUUGGAAGCGAAAUUAAUUCAAGCUGAGGAGAAAGUUAAGAAUAGUUCGACAGUUUAUACAUCUGCCAGUAUUAGAGCGAAUCAACAAGUUGAAACGAUGCAACAACAAAUGGCAUUAAUCGUUCAGCAAAGGGACGAUAUUCAAAAUAAAUUAUCAGCUGCCGAGGAUAAAAUACUCUCAUCCACUGCGUCGUUGACGAAUCUUCAAUUUGUUCUCGAACAAUUCCAAAGAGAUAAAGAAAAAGAUAUUCAAGCAGGAACAGAGAAAAUUCGUCAACAACUUAAUGAGUCCUACAGGCAGCAGGAAAAUUUGUCCAUUGAAAUUUCAAGUCUAAAGGAGCAAUUGGCAGAGGCGAAGGAAUGCCUACUGGCAGCCUCGAGAUUGAGUGAAGAAUUAGACAAGAAGAGUGAAAAAAUUGGACAACUGAAUCAAGAAGUUGCGCAAUUGACUCUUUUGGUGAACACUGCCGAUGAAAGAAUUCAGGAAGCAAACAAAAGUGGUGAAGGAAAAGUUGAUAAAAAUCUUGUGAAAAAUUUGCUUUUGGGUUAUUUGACAUCGUCAGCUAAUGAUAAAACUUCGGUAAUGAGGGUAUUUUCAACUGUUUUGGAUUUCAACGAUUCCGAAAGGGAGAAAACUGGUCUAAACAGUUCGGCUGCGAAAAAUAGUUGGUUCUCAAAUGUUUUACACAGCGGAGGAAACGUGCCAAACAAGGACGCGGAAGCUUCAUUGUCAGCGGCUUUUGUUAAAUUCUUGGAAAGCGAAUCAGCACCAAAAAAUCAAUUACCAGCUUUACCGAUUUCUAAUACUCCAUUAACUAAACCGGGUCACAGCAGGCAACAUUCAACAUCAUCAACGCAGUCGACACUCCUUUUAUCCAACAUUAAUUUGCCAACGUUUCCAGAUUUUGUUCCAGCAAGAAAUACAGGAUCGAUUCUGAAAGAAGUUUUAAAAGACAGCUGAUAUUGAAAACACGUUUCUUUUUGUCUGCUCCUUAUUAGUGAACAACUAUAUCAUAAAAGAUAUCACCAAUUAUGGAUUCCAAUAAAUUUUAAGAAGCAUUUGAAACCGAAGCAACAAGAAAACUUCCGAUAAAAAUAAUUAUUUUUAAGUAUUAUUAUUAUUACUAAUAUUAUAAUUAUCAUUACUGUUAAAUAGUGACAAAAAAAAAUUCGAAAAAGUCUCCAAAUUUAGUCGCCGAAGAGUUUGUUCCAAAAUUCAUCGAUUUUCUUUAUUUUCUUAAUCAUUUUAUUGUUUCUAUUUAUUUCAUUUCAAAAAUGUAAGUGGCGAAAAAAUAUUUUAAAAAAACAGCAUUGAUUGCUGGAUAAAAAAGUUCAAUUGAAUAUUA
Molecule: RNA transcript, 5173 nt
Organism: Leptopilina heterotoma
Lineage: Eukaryota; Metazoa; Arthropoda; Insecta; Hymenoptera; Figitidae
Gene name: thyroid receptor-interacting protein 11-like
Exons: 15
Source: RefSeq, a predicted model, not a curated record